AGGGCAGUGGCUCAAUUGGUAGAGCAUCGGUCUCCAAAGCCGGCGGUUGUAGGUUCGAGUCCUAUCUGCCCUGCCA
Molecule: transfer RNA, 76 nt
Filed under: Alphaproteobacteria bacterium
Lineage: Bacteria; Pseudomonadati; Pseudomonadota; Alphaproteobacteria
Description: tRNA-Trp
Rfam family: tRNA
About the family: Transfer RNA (tRNA) molecules are approximately 80 nucleotides in length.
Source: RNAcentral